GGGAGCCCGAAAACGACGCUAAUUUAAAGGGAACGACGGAUCACAAACCCCAGCGACGGGAUCGUGCAAACAGAGCCGGCGCAGGAAGGGCGGUGAAGGCAGGGAAGAGCAAAGUCAUCUGCGCAUAAAUCGCACGGUUUUAUCUUGACAAUCAUUCAGGGAGAUGGCUAAAGGCUGCGGAGGGCAUUUUUUAUCCUAUAUUGAAAUUAUGAAUCACAGCGUAAUUACACGAAAUGGAUCUUGCGCUCUGGUGACAUGGAAGUUUCAAUCAGAGAAGUUGCAUGAGUUAGUGAAUUUUAAUAUCGAGAGACCUUAAUGAGCGCACAUUAAAAACAGGGGGAGGCAAAGACAGCAGACAGGUUCAUGACAAAUCCCUUUAAACGCUUCAAAGCCCGUAAGCAGCGCGCGCUGCCNNNNNNNNNNNNNNNNNNNNNNNNNNNNNNNNNNNNNNNNNNNNNNNNNNNNNNNNNNNNNNNNGUCCCCCCGCCCGGGCUGCGGCCAGGGGUGCCCAGCACACCGCUCUCCUCGGGGCGCCGCGACACUUUCUCCUGCAGCAGAUCAAAAGAAAGCAAUUUACAGCUUUUCCUCUCAGAAGACAAAGCUACUCCCCUGCAGGGCUAUUUAUGUAAUUAGUAUUAGCUGAGGCCACGCAAGGUCAUCUGCUGCUCCCUCCGAGCAAGGGCCCUGCCGGCGCUGCCGGAAGCCAGCCUGAGGUCGGGCCUCGCGCCGGAGCCGGCGAAGGUGCUGCGUCGGGUGCUGCUUCCCCGGGCAACUCCGGCAUCCGCCACGCAUCCACCGUGCAUCUGCUGGGCGUGCGCCCUGCAUCCCCCACGCAUCCCCUGGGCAUCCACCACGCAUCUGCCACGCAUCCCCUGGGCAUCCACCGUGCAUCCGGCACGCAUCCACUGCAUAUCCACCGUGCAUCUGCCACGCAUCCCCUGGGCAUCCACCACGCAUCUGCCACGCAUCCCCUGGGCAUCUGCUGGGCGUGUGUCCUGCAUCCCCCACGCAUCCCCUGAGCAUCCAGCACACAUCUGCCACACAUCCCCUGGGCCUCCUCCAUGCAUCUGCUGGGCAUCCCCUGGACAUCCACCAUGCAUCUGCCACGCAUCCCCUGGGCAUCCACCAUGCAUCCCCCACGCAUCCCCUGAGCAUCCACCAUGCAUCUGCUGGGCAUCCACCACGGAUCCACCACUUAUCCACUGUGCAGCCAUCACACAUCCACUGCACAUCCACCAUGCAGCUGCUGGACGCACCAUGCAUACCAAAUGCAUUCACUGUGCAUCCACCAUACAUGUGCUGGGCAUGCGCCAUGCAUCUGCCACACAUCCACCAUGCAUCUGCCACACACCAGCUGUCCAUCUGCCACACAUGCCCUGUGCAUCCACCAUGCAUCUGCCACACAUCCCUGGUGCAUCCACUAUGCAUCCGGCACGCAUCCACCGUACAUCCACCAUGCAUUUGCCACGCAUCCACUGUACAUCCACCAUGCAUCUGCCACACACCAGCUGUCCAUCUGCCACACAUGCCCUGUGCAUCCACCAUGCAUCUGCCACACAUCCACUGUACAUCCACCCUGCAUCCGCUAGGCAUCCACUACAUGGGACAGCUCCAAGGAAGGGCAUGAAACUACUGCAGAAGAUUUAAAUCCACUCUAACUCCCCCCAGAUAGCACACACUUUCUGCUCAGAGGCGCCCAGACACCGCAAUGGCCCUGUGCACCCUGGUCAGGUAGGGAGCACAGGGAAAGGUGUCCCCCCGUCCCGGGCUCUACGGCUGAAGGGCAGCCCUGGCGGGAGGCAGACUCUCCUGGGGCGAGGGAAGCGCAGCGCUCAACACUUCCGCAGCAUGCAAUGCAACUGCACUGCCCGGUGCAACUGCAGGACAUGAUGCGGCCACGGCGUGCGAUGCAGAUGCAGCAUGCAAUGCAACUGCACUGCCCGGUGCAACUGCAGUGCACGAUGUGGCCACGGCGUGCGAUGCAGAUGCAGCAUGCAAUGCAACUGCACUGCCCGGUGCAACUGCAGGACAUGAUGCGGCCACGGCGUGCGAUGCAGAUGCAGCAUGCAAUGCAACUGCACUGCCCGGUGCAACUGCAGUGCACGAUGUGGCCACGGCAUGCGAUGCAGCUGCAGCAUGCAAUGCCGCCGGCUCCGCAGU
This 2160-nucleotide long non-coding RNA is filed under the name Struthio camelus australis. RNAcentral describes it as "lncRNA (ENSSCUG00000010173.1)". Lineage: Eukaryota; Metazoa; Chordata; Aves; Struthioniformes; Struthionidae. The record is from RNAcentral.